RNAcentral lists this unclassified non-coding RNA (334 nucleotides) under soil metagenome. Its description in RNAcentral is "partial contains 5.8S ribosomal RNA, internal transcribed spacer 2, and large subunit ribosomal RNA". The stretch from base 1 to 120 matches the Rfam family "5.8S ribosomal RNA", at positions 35 to 154 of the family's 154-position model. The record is from RNAcentral.
GAUGAAGAACGUAGCGAAAUGCGAUAAGUAGUGUGAAUUGCAGAAUUCAGUGAAUCAUCGAAUCUUUGAACGCACAUUGCGCCCCUUGGUAUUCCAUGGGGCAUGCCUGUUCGAGCGUCAUUUGUACCUUCAAGCUCUGCUUGGUGUUGGGUGUUUGUCCUUGCUCUAGUGGCGGGACUCGCCUUAAAGUAAUUGGCAGCCAGUGUUUUGGUUUUGAAGCGCAGCACAAGUCGCGAUUCAAGUCUAUACGCUAGUUUCCACAAGUCUUUUAUCACUUUUGACCUCGGAUCAGGUAGGGAUACCCGCUGAACUUAAGCAUAUCAAUAAGCGAGGA